RNAcentral lists this long non-coding RNA (439 nucleotides) under Androctonus crassicauda. Lineage: Eukaryota; Metazoa; Arthropoda; Arachnida; Scorpiones; Buthidae. The record is from RNAcentral.
GUUCAUUUUGGCGCACCCUGUAUAUAGGAGUUAUAAAAGGAAUCUUAAAGAAAAAUUGACAGAACAUAAAAAUUAUAUAAGAGUAGGUUGACUCAUAACCAUACUGGCAAAGUUGUCUAAUGAAAAUGACAAAAUCAUGUAAGAGAAAGUCAACAUUAGAGGAAGGGAGAAUACGAGAAGUUUAAAUAAGCAGGACUUAUAUCUACUUAAAAAAAUUAAGCGUUGGAUGAAAGACUGUAGCAUUAUAAUCACAAGAGAAGAUAAAACUAAAAAGAUGAUGCUAAUCAAAGAAAAAGAGUACAAGCAUUACUUACAAGAAUACAUCGAAGAUUCAUGUCCUACACUCUUAAAGAAAGAUCCUAUCCAGGGUUUGCAGUUAGAGGUCAGUAAACUAUGUAAGGCUAAAGACUUUCCUGAGAUUUGGAGACAUUACAUUAGA